Molecule: ribosomal RNA, 820 nt
Filed under: uncultured Stenotrophomonas sp.
Lineage: Bacteria; Pseudomonadati; Pseudomonadota; Gammaproteobacteria; Lysobacterales; Lysobacteraceae
Description: bacterial SSU rRNA
Rfam family: Bacterial small subunit ribosomal RNA
Source: RNAcentral
CAUGCGUCUGCUUACCAUGCAAGUCGAACGGGCGUAGCAAUACGUCAGUGGCAGACGGGUGAGUAACGCGUGGGAACGUACCUUUUGGUUCGGAACAACUGAGGGAAACUUCAGCUAAUACCGGAUAAGCCCUUACGGGGAAAGAUUUAUCGCCGAAAGAUCGGCCCGCGUCUGAUUAGCUAGUUGGUGAGGUAAUGGCUCACCAAGGCGACGAUCAGUAGCUGGUCUGAGAGGAUGAUCAGCCACAUUGGGACUGAGACACGGCCCAAACUCCUACGGGAGGCAGCAGUGGGGAAUAUUGGACAAUGGGCGCAAGCCUGAUCCAGCCAUACCGCGUGGGUGAAGAAGGCCUUCGGGUUGUAAAGCCCUUUUGUUGGGAAAGAAAAGCAUUCGGUUAAUACCCGAUUGUUCUGACGGUACCCAAAGAAUAAGCACCGGCUAACUUCGUGCCAGCAGCCGCGGUAAUACGAAGGGUGCAAGCGUUACUCGGAAUUACUGGGCGUAAAGCGUGCGUAGGUGGUUGUUUAAGUCUGUCGUGAAAGCCCUGGGCUCAACCUGGGAAUUGCGAUGGAAACUGGGCGACUAGAGUGUGGCAGAGGGUAGUGGAAUUCCUGGUGUAGCAGUGAAAUGCGUAGAGAUCAGGAGGAACAUCCGUGGCGAAGGCGACUGCCUGGGCCAACACUGACACUGAGGCACGAAAGCGUGGGGAGCAAACAGGAUUAGAUACCCUGGUAGUCCACGCCCUAAACGAUGCGAACUGGAUGUUGGGUGCAAUUUGGCACGCAGUAUCGAAGCUAACGCGUUAAGUUCGCCGCCUGGG